CAAAAGGCUUAACACUCAGGCAGAGGCGCUGUGCUAGAUCCUGUAAUGCAGGGGAGGGGAUGUCAAACCUGGUGUCAGAGACCUGGAUGCAGCAAGUGGUAUGGCCUUUGCCCACACUGUCCGCCGAGCCUGGAAUGCCUGCCUCAGCCCUGCCCCGUGAACUGCUACUGAAGUUCACAUCUUCAUUUGGCAGCACUUCCUCCCGGAAAUGUCCCCGGAUGUCCACCCUGCAUGCUGUAGCAAAUGACGAGGCUUCACAUUCCAGAUGGUGCAGCUAUGAGCCCCGAGGGCCUCCGACAGCCUGGAUGCCUGAGUGACCGUGUGGAGCCCAGUGCCCCGCCAACCCAGAGGAGCAAGCAGGAU
This 363-nucleotide long non-coding RNA is filed under the name Equus caballus (horse). Its description in RNAcentral is "lncRNA (ENSECAG00000055286.1)". Lineage: Eukaryota; Metazoa; Chordata; Mammalia; Perissodactyla; Equidae. The record is from RNAcentral.